AAGGGCUUAGCUUAAGGAAAGCGGUUGGCUUGCAUUCAACAGAUGUAAGAUAGAGUCUUGCAGUCCUUA
This 69-nucleotide transfer RNA is filed under the name Glossophaga soricina (Pallas's long-tongued bat). Its description in RNAcentral is "tRNA-Ala". It matches the Rfam family "tRNA". From Rfam's summary of the family: Transfer RNA (tRNA) molecules are approximately 80 nucleotides in length. Their secondary structure includes four short double-helical elements and three loops (D, anti-codon, and T loops). The record is from RNAcentral. RNAcentral also lists the same sequence under 1 other name. Lineage: Eukaryota; Metazoa; Chordata; Mammalia; Chiroptera; Phyllostomidae.